UAGACGAAAAUGUAAUCGAAACUGUUGACCAGCCAAGCCCACUUCACCCCAUCUUAGAACCAUCAUUACAGAGAAAGGACUUUUGGUGACAAUGAUUCUUCAUUCACUUUAAAUACAGAAGAAUUGCCAGGACCCUCAACUGCACAAUCUUCAACAUCCCUG
This 162-nucleotide long non-coding RNA is filed under the name Danio rerio (zebrafish). Its description in RNAcentral is "lncRNA (ENSDARG00000117327.1)". Lineage: Eukaryota; Metazoa; Chordata; Actinopteri; Cypriniformes; Danionidae. The record is from RNAcentral.